CAGAAUCUGUCCGCUACAGAAGUUCGGUCGGAGUCUGGUUCCCAUAGAAGUCCGGAUGGGGAUCAUUUGUUGAGGAAGCUCGACCGAAGCCUGCCUGCAAUAGAAGUUUGGAAGGAAUUCGUUCACAAUAGAAGCUCAAGUGGAGGCUUACAGUACAAAUCCGACGUGGACCGUUCGUAGUAGAAAUCAAAGUAGUCCGCUUGUAGUAGUAGCUCGGA
RNAcentral lists this long non-coding RNA (218 nucleotides) under Elaeis guineensis (African oil palm). Its description in RNAcentral is "long non-coding RNA (EGUI_LNC049184)". Lineage: Eukaryota; Viridiplantae; Streptophyta; Magnoliopsida; Arecales; Arecaceae. The record is from RNAcentral.